GAUGAACGCUGGCGGCGUGCCUAAUACAUGCAAGUCGAGCGAACGGACGAGAAGCUUGCUUCUCUGAUGUUAGCGGCGGACGGGUGAGUAACACGUGGAUAACCUACCUAUAAGACUGGGAUAACUUCGGGAAACCGGAGCUAAUACCGGAUAAUAUUUUGAACCGCAUGGUUCAAAAGUGAAAGACGGUCUUGCUGUCACUUAUAGAUGGAUCCGCGCUGCAUUAGCUAGUUGGUAAGGUAACGGCUUACCAAGGCAACGAUGCAUAGCCGACCUGAGAGGGUGAUCGGCCACACUGGAACUGAGACACGGUCCAGACUCCUACGGGAGGCAGCAGUAGGGAAUCUUCCGCAAUGGGCGAAAGCCUGACGGAGCAACGCCGCGUGAGUGAUGAAGGUCUUCGGAUCGUAAAACUCUGUUAUUAGGGAAGAACAUAUGUGUAAGUAACUGUGCACAUCUUGACGGUACCUAAUCAGAAAGCCACGGCUAACUACGUGCCAGCAGCCGCGGUAAUACGUAGGUGGCAAGCGUUAUCCGGAAUUAUUGGGCGUAAAGCGCGCGUAGGCGGUUUUUUAAGUCUGAUGUGAAAGCCCACGGCUCAACCGUGGAGGGUCAUUGGAAACUGGAAAACUUGAGUGCAGAAGAGGAAAGUGGAAUUCCAUGUGUAGCGGUGAAAUGCGCAGAGAUAUGGAGGAACACCAGUGGCGAAGGCGACUUUCUGGUCUGUAACUGACGCUGAUGUGCGAAAGCGUGGGGAUCAAACAGGAUUAGAUACCCUGGUAGUCCACGCCGUAAACGAUAAGUGCUAAGUGUUAGGGGGUUUCCGCCCCUUAGUGCUGCAGCUAACGCAUUAAGCACUCCGCCUGGGGAGUACGACCGCAAGGUUGAAACUCAAAGGAAUUGACGGGGACCCGCACAAGCGGUGGAGCAUGUGGUUUAAUUCGAAGCAACGCGAAGAACCUUACCAAAUCUUGACAUCCUUUGACAACUCUAGAGAUAGAGCCUUCCCCUUCGGGGGACAAAGUGACAGGUGGUGCAUGGUUGUCGUCAGCUCGUGUCGUGAGAUGUUGGGUUAAGUCCCGCAACGAGCGCAACCCUUAAGCUUAGUUGCCAUCAUUAAGUUGGGCACUCUAAGUUGACUGCCGGUGACAAACCGGAGGAAGGUGGGGAUGACGUCAAAUCAUCAUGCCCCUUAUGAUUUGGGCUACACACGUGCUACAAUGGACAAUACAAAGGGCAGCGAAACCGCGAGGUCAAGCAAAUCCCAUAAAGUUGUUCUCAGUUCGGAUUGUAGUCUGCAACUCGACUACAUGAAGCUGGAAUCGCUAGUAAUCGUAGAUCAGCAUGCUACGGUGAAUACGUUCCCGGGUCU
This 1372-nucleotide ribosomal RNA is filed under the name uncultured bacterium. Its description in RNAcentral is "bacterial SSU rRNA". It matches the Rfam family "Bacterial small subunit ribosomal RNA", at positions 28 to 1381 of the family's 1533-position model. The record is from RNAcentral.